RNAcentral lists this ribosomal RNA (497 nucleotides) under uncultured bacterium. RNAcentral describes it as "partial 16S ribosomal RNA". It matches the Rfam family "Bacterial small subunit ribosomal RNA", at positions 28 to 507 of the family's 1533-position model. The record is from RNAcentral.
GAUGAACGCUGGCGGCGUGCCUAAUACAUGCAAGUCGAGCGAACAGACGAGGAGCUUGCUCCUCUGACGUUAGCGGCGGACGGGUGAGUAACACGUGGAUAACCUACCUAUAAGACUGGGAUAACUUCGGGAAACCGGAGCUAAUACCGGAUAACAUGUUGAACCGCAUGGUUCAACAGUGAAAGACGGUCUUGCUGUCACUUAUAGCUGGAUCCGCGCCGCAUUAGCUAGUUGGUAAGGUAACGGCUUACCAAGGCAACGAGGCGUAGCCGACCUGAGAGGAGGAUCAGCAGCACUGGAAAUGAGACACGGUACAGAGUACUACGGAAGGAACCAGUGGGGAAGAGUGGACAAUGUGUGCAAGCCUGAACCAGCCAUACCGAGUGGGGGAAGAAGGCCUUAGGGUUGUAAAACACUUUGGUGGGGAAAGAAAAGCAGCAGGUGAAUACCCAGCUGUUCUGACGGGAGGAAAAGAAGAAGCACCGGCGAGCCUCGUG